This is a small nucleolar RNA of Suncus etruscus (white-toothed pygmy shrew), 79 nucleotides long. RefSeq annotates it as small nucleolar RNA U109. The transcript has a single exon. Lineage: Eukaryota; Metazoa; Chordata; Mammalia; Eulipotyphla; Soricidae. The record is from RefSeq and is a predicted model, not a curated record.
CAACAUGCUAUAUUAAAAGAAAAAAGGAGUUUUCAACCUUACAGUAGAGGUUGAGUAGUAGUAUAUUUCUCCAACAAAA